Molecule: transfer RNA, 73 nt
Filed under: Bacillus sp. AR2-1
Lineage: Bacteria; Bacillati; Bacillota; Bacilli; Caryophanales; Bacillaceae
Description: tRNA-Val
Source: RNAcentral
UCCCCCGUAGCUCUGUAGGAAGAGCGCCACCUUAACAGGGUGGAGGUCUUGAGUUCGAGCUUCUCUGGGGUCA